Molecule: non-coding RNA, 89 nt
Organism: Saxophila tyrrhenica
Lineage: Eukaryota; Fungi; Ascomycota; Dothideomycetes; Mycosphaerellales; Extremaceae
Source: the annotation of a RefSeq genome assembly
GGUCGAUUGGUCUAGAGGUAUGAUUCUCGCUUAGGGUAAACCCUUUGCACCAUUGCGAGAGGCCCCGCGUUCGAAUCGCGGAUCGACCC